This 164-nucleotide small nuclear RNA is filed under the name Echinops telfairi (small Madagascar hedgehog). RNAcentral describes it as "U1 spliceosomal RNA (ENSETEG00000021441.1)". It matches the Rfam family "U1 spliceosomal RNA". From Rfam's summary of the family: U1 is a small nuclear RNA (snRNA) component of the spliceosome (involved in pre-mRNA splicing). Its 5' end forms complementary base pairs with the 5' splice junction, thus defining the 5' donor site of an intron. There are significant differences in sequence and secondary structure between metazoan and yeast U1 snRNAs, the latter being much longer (568 nucleotides as compared to 164 nucleotides in human). The record is from RNAcentral. Lineage: Eukaryota; Metazoa; Chordata; Mammalia; Afrosoricida; Tenrecidae.
AUACUUACCUGGCAGGGGAGAUACCAUGAUCACGAAGGUGGUUUUCCCAGGGCGAGGCUUAUCCAUUGCACUCUGGAUGUGCUGACCCCUGCGAUUUCCCCAAAUGUGGGAAACUCGACUGCUUAAUUUGUGGUAGUGGGGGACUGCGUUCGCGCUCUCCCCUG